CCUCCAGCCUUUUACAACCACAUCACUCCAUGGGCUUGCCAACAUUGGGCAGAGUCUCCUGCUGGCUGAAACUCUCUCACCACAAAGGAUUUCAUUUUAUGUCAGCAGUUUCAUAGGCUGAGGGAGUGAUAGAGAUAAGAGAAACAUGAAGAGAAUAUGCCACAAUGACUAAACUCAAGAUAGAUUUGGGGCAGAGAUGUAGA
Molecule: long non-coding RNA, 203 nt
Filed under: Homo sapiens (human)
Lineage: Eukaryota; Metazoa; Chordata; Mammalia; Primates; Hominidae
Description: HSALNT0200892
Source: RNAcentral